AGGGAAAUUCUGGGGACUUCAUCUGUAAAUCAGCCUUUUCCAGUUAUAUUCUUUCUGUUAGUCCAUCAACAAGCAUUUGUAAAACUCCUAUUCAGUGCUGGGUACUGCGUUAAUUGCAGCAAAUGGACAUAUUUAGAAGCAAGAGGCCAUUAAAGAAUUUAAAAUCUAGUUAGAAAGCAGAAGUAGACAGGACUGCUGUUGGUUCUAUAGCUAGUAACUUUAAGAAUCAAGGGAGUGAUUUAUGUAAAUUUUAUAUAAAAUUUAUGCAAAGUCUUUUUCUAUCUGUGUUUGUGUGCAUGUGUGAGAGAGAGAAAAAGAGACAGAGGAAGAGAGAAAGAGGACAGAGCACAUGUGUCUGUAUAUCUAGAAACAGAAAGACAGAAAAAGAAAUGUCUGGAAAGAUGUUGACCAAAAAAGUUAAGUUGCAGCUCUUAGGACCUGCAUAGCAAACUGCUUGAGCGUAGCGUCUCAGAAGACACAAUGUAGGUUUAAAUCCCAAUUCUGCCAUUGACGGUAUUACUUACUUUGUCCGUGUUGUAUUUAGCCUGAGUCUCAGUUUUCUUGAAACUGGACAGUAAUGUUGUCUCCUACAGAGUUCUCAUCGGGAUUAACUAGGAAGAUGUGCAUAGAGCCUUUUGUAGUGCCUGGUGGCUGUCCUUUAAAUAUCAGUGCUCAAUACAUGUAACCACUUACAGUGAUGAGCUAUUGAAAGAGGAGAGGAUGCAAGGGGAAGUCUUGGAAAAGGCAAGACCUGAAUGGGUCCUUGGAUAAGGGUGAAGAUUUGGCUGCUACAAGGGAAGGCUGGGGGUGUUCAGGAUUAGGGCAACAUUCUGAGCAGAGGCAGGAAGGAGCCUUAUCGGUUUUCUGAGAAAGAGAAAGCUUGGGUGAAGUGAGAAACAAGGUUGCAUAAGAAGGGCACUCGAGAUAGUGGUGAGCCUCAGGAAUUUUGGUUAUUGUCCAAUAGGGAAAAGAAAGCUCUUGAAUGUGUUUGAGGCAGACAGAAUUUCAUCAGUUUAAUGUGCCCUGUCAAUGAGUAAACAAGUGAUGCUGGAAGGGGAACAAAGGCAAGAUGGUGGCUAAGAUGGUGGGAUUUUUCAUCUUCCCAACUCCACCCCAACAAAAAUAGAGAUGACAACUAAGACUGCAAAACAAACAAAUAAGAAGCAAGCAACCAGGCAGGAAGGCAGCAGAAGGAAGGCAGUCCAAGAUCCAGAAAAACUAGAGAUUACUAACUAGUAUUCACCUUUACAAGGAGGAGAAGGUGUUAAGUUUGACAGCCUGCUGAGAUUUGGGGGUGUGUGUGGGGGGGGUGGUUUUCAGUUUCUAAAUGGUAGUAGAGGUGGCCUGUGGCCAACUCCCCUUGAGAGGAAGAGUCCCACUGAAGAAAACUAUUCUGAAAGAUUUCAAUAGAGAUGUGUCCUGAGUGGAUAACUGCCCAGCCCUAACACUGUUGAGAGACAGGAUAACAGAGCCCUGGGCCAGCAGGGGGUGGUGCAUUAACAUUAUGUGAGUCUAGAAGCCUCUGCAAGGAGGAGCAGGUGGAGUGCCGUAAGAGCCAAGGAUAGGCAAGGUGUCCCUUCCCCCUGGCUUCCUGUCAAGAACGCAGCACUCCUGCAAAACAGAAACAAACCAGUGCCAAAGACAGGAGUAUGAGGACUUAGACUAUGGGGACAAGAUCGCCUUAUGAGGAGGCAACCAUCAGAAAUGGUCAAAACCCAGGCUCUCUCUGAUCCAUGGAUUCUCUUCCCUAGGGGGCCAUCUCCAUCCUCCUUCAAAAAAAAAAACUGAGUUAGUUUCCACUAAGGACACUUAAAUAGCCAAAUAGCUGACACUUAUAAGGCAAAACAAAAUCACAGAGGCAAGUAUCCAGAGAGCUGAGGAACGCAGCUACUAUUAAUAAAUAGAAAUCCAUACUAGACGGGAUAGACACCUUUUAAAAAUGGAAAUAACUAUAAUGCAUACAAUCAAAUAAGGACAAAUAGUAUAUUCAUAUAGGAUGAAUAUGGUGACUUUUUAGAAGAUCAAGGAAAAAUACCACUUAGGAAAAAUACAACUGUUUAAUUAAGGAGCUCAGUUGAAGAGCUAAAGAACAGAAUGGAUACAAACAAAUCUGAACCAAAUUUGAACCAAAGAUUGGGUUGAGGGACUAUUUCACAAGGCAUCAGGAAGAAAUAAAGUGAAGAAAAAUAAACCAGAAAAGGAAAGAAUAAUAAAAGCAAGAAGUAAGUGUUUUAGGAUCCCUGGUGACCUGGUGGUUAAGGAUCUGGCAUUGUCACUACUGCAGUACAGAUUCAGUCCCGGGCCUGGGAACUUCCACAUGCUGCAGAUGCAGCCAAAAAAAAAAAAAAAAUUUAAAUAAGAGUUCCAGAAGAGGAAAAAGGUAAACAGGGAGAUAUGGGCUAUUGUAACCCUGUGGCCCCCAGGGUAUCACACCUCAUACACUGUAGAGUUAGUCCUCUCACAUUGAUGCUGAACUUGAUCAUGGAUCUUACUUUGACCAAUGGGAUAUGAAUAAACAUGAAGCGAGAAGAGAUGAUGUAAGUACAUGUGCUAGGGGCACACAGGAUCAUGUGACCUACACUGAUUUACUUUGACUGAUGGAAUAUCCAUCAACUUGAACCAAGCAGAGGAAACACUAGUGCACACUGCUCUGACCAUGAGAGUAAGCCUCGUCUAGCCUCCUUGAGGAUGAAAGACCUUAUGAAGAGAGGGGUGUGGUCAUUCCUGUUCAGAGAAACCCAGUGCCCUGGAUUCCCUUCAGCUGAAAAAGCAGACACAAGAAUAUGCCCAGUGAAACCAACAGAAUUACCCAGCCAACUCAGACCCUUAAAUCACUGUUGUUCUUUUAAGCCACUAUGUUUUGGGGUAAUUUAUUAUGCAUGCAGCAAUAGAUAAGUCACAGAGGAGAUAUAGGUGAAUAAUGACCUAAAAUUUCCAAGGUAAAAGAUUUUAGACAGAAAUAAAAAUAUUUGAGACUGAAAGGCUAGUAGAGUACAAAACAAUAGGAAUAAAUUAAUUAUCAUCUAAGGUUAUUCCAAAAGGCAGUUCAAGAGCAUGUAGAAAAAAAAUAAAAUAAUACGAAUUCAUUUGAUAUCAGAUUUCUCAGCUGUGACACUGAAAUCAAGGAGUCAAUGGCAUAUUAUUUUCAAGGAGAAAAUAAGGACUUUUAGAGUUAAACUGUACCAUUUAAAUAUGAGGUUUCAAUAAAAAUAUUCUUAGGUAAACAAAGCUAUAGAACUUUAACAUCGAGACACCCCUAAAAAUACUCCUGAACCAAAAACUAGUAAGUUCUCAAAAAGUUACAUGUAAUCAAUCAAAGCAAAUAUAUAUAAUAUAUGACAAAUGUAUAUAUAACAAAAUAUAAAUAGGAAGAAAAGCAAAAUUUUAUUUGCAAAUAUUUAUAAAGUAGAUAAACUUUAUAGUACUUACUUACUCUUACCUUAUUUUUAAAGAAAGAGUAAUGAGUAAAAAAAAAAAAUGUGAGGAGUUCCCAUCGUGGCUCAGGAGUUACAAACCCAAGUAGUAUCCAUGAGGAUGGAAUUUGAUCCCUGGUCUCGCUCAGUGGGUUAAGGAUCCCACGUUGCCGUGAGCUGUGGUGUAGGUCACAGACACAGCUUGGAUCCCAUGUUGCUGUGGCUGUGGUGUAGGCUGUCAGCUGCAGCUUCGACUUGACCCCUGGCCCGGGAACUUUCAUAUGCUCCAAGUGUGGACCUAAAAAAGUAAAACAAAAACAAACAAAAAAAAAGGAAACAGAAUCAUAGACAGAGAAAACAAACUUAUGGUUACCAAAGGAGAAAGGGGGGUGGGUAAGGGGUCAAUUCGAAUUUUGGGAUUAGCAGAUACACACUAUUAGAUAUAAAACAAAUGACAAGGACCUACUGUAUAGCACAGGGAACUAUAUUCACUGUCUUGUAAUAAACUCUAAUGGAAAAGAAUAUGAAAAAGUAUGUACAUCUUUAUAUAUAUCUUUGUGGUAUGCCAGAAGCUAACACAACACUGUAAAUAAACUAUACUUCAGUAAAAAUAAUAAAAAAUAAAGCUGUAACAAUAAUUACAUGAUACACUGAGAAAAUGAAGUCAGUGACAGUAGACUGCAGACAGUGGAAUGAGCUGCAGUCAAAUGCCAGUUAGGCCUUGUCUUGGUGGAAGAGCUUUGGGAAGAGCAGAGCAGGGGUGGCUAGGAGGUGUAUUUCAUUAAAAUGUCAGGAGGAAUUUCUGACUGAAUGAGUGUAGGGGUUAAGAGGAGGCUGAGCUGUGGUGGGAGUUGAUGUUGGCCAGACAGAUCAGGGAUAGACUAUACAGGUCAUUCUUAAGAUUUAAAUCAUUUUUUUUUUAAUGGGAAGUUUAGUUGAUUUACAAGGUGUUAAUGUAGCAAAAGGAUUCAGUUAUACACACACAUAUAUUCUUUUCCCAUUAUGGUUUUUUUUUAAAAAUUAUUAUUAAAGUACAGUUGCUUCAGAUGUUUUGUCAAGUUCUGUUGUACAACAGUGACCCAAUCACACACAUUUCCCGGUGCUGUGCAGUAGGAUCGCACUGCUCAUCCGUUCCACAUAUAACAGUUCGUAUCCAACCCCCUGCCCCAAGUGCCCAUUCAUCCCACUCCCCCUCUUUCCACCUUGGGGACCCCAAGUCUGCUCUUCUUGGCCAUGAUCUGUUUCUUCUUUUUUUUUAAUCUAAAAUACGGAACAUAUGAUCUAUGUCUAGGUCAUUUAUAGGUCAUUUAAGUUAAUCUCAGGAACGUUCUGUGGAAGGGCAGCAGGGAGGAUGAUGCAUCAGAAAGGAGGAGACCAGUUAGACUAACUGGAGAAACACCCAUUAACCAUUACAAUAGUCAGGCUGAAGGGCUGAACUGAGACUGUGGGAACUGGGAGGGGAAGGAGGAAUUAGAGCCAGGAGAUAUUUAAAAUGUUGAAUCUGAGUGACUUGGUAGAUUAGUUGAGAGUGGAUGGUGGAGUUCCCAUUGUGGCACAGCGGAAAUGAAUCUGACUGGGAACCAUGAGGUUGCAGGUUUGAUCCCUGGCGUCACUCAGUGGGUUAAGGAUCUGGCGUUGCUGUGAGCUGUGGUGUAGGUCAAGGCUCAGAUCUGGCAUUGUUGUGGCUUUGGUGUAGGCCAGCAGUUGUAACUCCGAUUGGACCCCUAGCCUGGGAAACUUCAUAUGCCAUGGGUGUGGCCCUAAAAGGAUAAAAAGACCAAAAAAAAAAAAAAAAUGGAAAGAAAAAGAAAAAAAAAGAAACUGGAUGGUGAGGAAAGGGAAGGUUUCCUGGAAACUGAGUUUUCUUGUUUUGUCAAGAGGUAUGAACAUUAACCAAUAUAGGAAAUUCAGGGGACAUCGUUUUAGCUAGAAAUUAGUCUAAUUCUGAAUAUGCAAGUACGGAUGCUUCCAAUUACACACGUCCAGUGGGUAAUUAGAAACGUAGGUCUGGAACUUGAGAGAGGUUAGGGCUGAGGAUAUAGAAUGAAGAAUCACCAAAAUUGGUUAAUUGAAGCCAGGGAUAUAUAUAAAAUUUCACAGAAAAUGACUGUGGAAGGUCAAUGCCAGGCAGUCAAGUUCUCCAGGAGUCUGUGGUCCAAAGGCAGAAACCAGCUCUGCCUUUGAGAGGGGCAGGGGAAUGCUGGAAAAAAUGAGAGCCACGUUUGGCAACUGUCAGAUCACAUCUGCUUUCUGUGGCGUGGUUUCUGCACUGACUGACAAUCAGCACACAAAAAUAUAUGCAACCCAUCAAACACACACAUCCACCCUGCACAUAUCUGCCUAAAUAUUUAGACACAGCCAGGAAGUGACAGAAAUUAUUAAGAAAUUGAAAUUCCAAUCACUAAAGGUGAUCAGUGAAACUGAGAUCAGCUCUCAAUCCAACCAGACUCCCUUCAUCAGACCAGAGGUUCAUUUGUCACUUCUAGAGGGGGGAAGGGGCCAUUCAACCAACGUGGAAGGUUCUCUAUUUAACUGAUGAUUUAUACCUUAUCCCCUAAUUCUCCUUUGGUGAAUUUUUUUUUCUUGUGACAUCCCAACACAAGAGGGUAGACUGAGGAAGCGAGCCAAGGGCAGGGCAUAGGUAUAGUUAAAAGGAUAUUAAACUUGGCAUCAGAAGAUUGAGUUCAAGUCCCAGCUCCACUGGUUUCUACCCCUGUGACCCAGCUUCCCUGAGCCUGUUCUUAUCUGUAAAAUAAGAAUAUUUACUCCUGGAGUUCUUGUGUGGCACUGAGAAAAGGAAUCUGACUAGGAACCAUCAGGUUGCAGGUUUGAUCCCUGGCCUCGCUCAGUGGGUUAAGGAUCCGGCGUUGCCGUGAGCUGUGGUGUAGGUCGCAGACGCAGCUCAGACCUGGUGUUGCUGUGGCCCCGGUGCAGGUCAGUAGCUGUAGCUCCGAUUUGUCCCCUAGCCUAGGAACCUCCAUAUGCUGCGAGUGCAGCGCUAAAAAGCAAAAAAAAAAAAAAA
Molecule: long non-coding RNA, 6435 nt
Filed under: Sus scrofa (pig)
Lineage: Eukaryota; Metazoa; Chordata; Mammalia; Artiodactyla; Suidae
Description: lncRNA (ENSSSCG00005016343.1)
Source: RNAcentral